This 253-nucleotide ribosomal RNA is filed under the name uncultured bacterium. Its description in RNAcentral is "partial 16S ribosomal RNA". It matches the Rfam family "Bacterial small subunit ribosomal RNA", at positions 524 to 776 of the family's 1533-position model. The record is from RNAcentral.
UACGGAGGGUGCAAGCGUUAUCCGGAUUCACUGGGUUUAAAGGGUGCGUAGGUGGGUUGGUAAGUCAGUGGUGAAAUCCCCGAGCUUAACUUGGGAACUGCCAUUGAUACUAUCAGUCUUGAAUACCGUGGAGGUCAGCGGAAUAUGUCAUGUAGCGGUGAAAUGCUUAGAUAUGACAUAGAACACCAAUUGCGAAGGCAGCUGGCUACACGGAUAUUGACACUGAGGCACGAAAGCGUGGGGAGCGAACAGG